GGCGAGUGAAGCGGGAUGAGCUCAAGCUUAAAAUCUCCGUGCAAAUUUUGCAUGGCGAAUUGUAGUCUAUAGAGACGUGAUUAGCAUAGGCACUUGGGGCAAGUUCCUUGGAAGAGGACAGCAUCGAGGGUGAUACUCCCGUUUAUCUCCGAGUUGCUUUUGCGUACAAUCCGUUUUCUUUGAGUCGCGUUGUUUGAGAAUGCAGCGCAAAGUAGGUGGUAAAUUCCAUCUAAAGCUAAAUAUUGGUGCGAGACCGAUAGCAAACAAGUACCGUGAGGGAAAGAUGAAAAGAACUUUGAAAAGAGAGUUAAAGAGUACCUGAAACUGCUGAAAGGGAACCAAAUCGUUUCCAGUGUCUAUAAUCCGUGGUAUAUUUCAUUGGCGAAUGUGUGCGUGCGUGUACUAUGGCAGCGGCUUUUUGCUGCGCCUUGUGUGUGUGUGCACUUUCUCGCUGAUGCCCUGUACCGUGGUGGGACGUCAAUGUCGGUUCGUAAAUUGCGGGAAAUGACUGCCGAGGAGGUAGGGCGAACGCUUGCGUUUGUCUGUUAUAUCUUGGCGGACGUAGUAGUCGCGGUUGGGACUGAGGUGCCUACAAUGUGCUUAUGAGUAGAAUUGAUUCUCCGUGUGCGCUAUGUGCGGAUAGCUUGCUAUGCGUGUGUGGCUGCGUGUGGAU
Molecule: ribosomal RNA, 673 nt
Filed under: Bremia lactucae (lettuce downy mildew)
Lineage: Eukaryota; Oomycota; Peronosporomycetes; Peronosporales; Peronosporaceae
Description: LSU rRNA
Rfam family: Eukaryotic large subunit ribosomal RNA
Source: RNAcentral